GAUGAAGAACGUAGCGAAAUGCGAUACGGAAUGUGAAUUGCAGAAGUCAGUGAAUCAUCGAAUCUUUGAACGCAUAUUGCGCUCUCUGGUAUUCCGGAGAGCAUGCUUGUUUGAGUAUCAGUAAACACCUCAACUUCCAUAUCUUUUUUGAAAUGGGAGUUGGACUUGAGUGAUCCCAACGCUUUUCCUCACCGAAAAGUGGCGGGUUACUUGAAAUGCAGGUGCAGCUGGACUUUUCUCUGAGCUAUAAGCAUAUCUAUUUAGUCUGCCUAAAAAACAGAUUAUUACCUUUGCUGCAGCUAACAUAAAGGAGAUUAGUUCUUGUGCUGACUGAUGCAGGAUUCACAAAGACGGCUUCGGCCGACUUUGUAAACUCGAUCUCAAAUCAAGUAAGACUACCCGCUGAACUUAAGCAUAUCAAUAAGCGGAGGA
This 432-nucleotide unclassified non-coding RNA is filed under the name soil metagenome. RNAcentral describes it as "partial contains 5.8S ribosomal RNA, internal transcribed spacer 2, and large subunit ribosomal RNA". The stretch from base 1 to 120 matches the Rfam family "5.8S ribosomal RNA", at positions 35 to 154 of the family's 154-position model. The record is from RNAcentral.